CCUACGGGGGGCAGCAGUGGGGAAUAUUGCACAAUGGGGGAAACCCUGAUGCAGCGACGCCGCGUGAGUGAAGAAGUAUUUCGGUUUGUAAAGCUCUAUCAGCAGGGAAGAAAAAAGACGGUACCUGACUAAGAAGCCCCGGCUAACUACGUGCCAGCAGCCGCGGUCAUACGUAGGGUGAAAGCGUUCUCCGGAUUUACUGGGUGUAAAGGUAGCGUAGACGGCGCGGCAAAGCUGAAGUGAAAGGCAGGGGGUUAAACCAUGAUCUGCUUUGGAAACUGCAAUGCUUGAGUGCUGGAGAGGGAAGUGGAAUUCCUAGUGUAGCGGUGAAAUGCGUAGAUAUUAGGAGGAACACCGGUGGCGAAGGCGGCUUACUGGACAGUAACUGACGUUGAGGCUCGAAAGCGUGGGGAGCAAACAGGAUUAGAUACCCCUGUAGUC
This 441-nucleotide ribosomal RNA is filed under the name uncultured bacterium. RNAcentral's name for it is "partial 16S ribosomal RNA". It matches the Rfam family "Bacterial small subunit ribosomal RNA", at positions 338 to 795 of the family's 1533-position model. The record is from RNAcentral.